UCAAACUUGGUCAUUUAGAGGAAGUAAAAGUCGUAACAAGGUCUCCGUAGGUGAACCUGCGGAGGGAUCAUUAACACUAUUUGGCUUGACACAUUUGUUUCACGACAUCUGUGUUGAGUUCAAAUUUCCACACACAUUGCGAACUCGUUGAUUUCUUCUCGUCAAACAGAAGAAAUUAGCCUAAUACAACUGUCUCGAGGGUUAGGAGGCCGACGCGACGCAGUGGGCGACAAUUCAUUUCUUCGGAAAUGGAGAACUCGCAGCUCCGCUUCCGUACCUCGACGUGGUUAAUUUUGGGAGAUGUGACACUCACGCGUCUCGGCCCCUUUGCCAUCACCUUUAAACCAAUCGACUAAUUUCAAAGAUUAACGGAAACGUUUGAUCUUUAAUAUCUAAACUAAGCACAACUCUUAGCAACGGAUAUCUUGGUUCUCGCAUCGAUGAAGAACGCAGC
This 454-nucleotide unclassified non-coding RNA is filed under the name uncultured fungus. Its description in RNAcentral is "partial contains small subunit ribosomal RNA, internal transcribed spacer 1, and 5.8S ribosomal RNA". The stretch from base 1 to 73 matches the Rfam family "Eukaryotic small subunit ribosomal RNA", at positions 1759 to 1831 of the family's 1831-position model. Lineage: Eukaryota; Fungi. The record is from RNAcentral.